CACAUUAUCACAAACAGUUUCAUUCAAAGAGCUUUUUAGUAGCCUACUGCUUUUCAUGCUUUCCAAUGUAUGCCACUUUCAUGAUUCUCAUGAACAUAUGUGAGAUUGUUGGUAUCUCUUCGAGGAGCUUGGUUUCAGAGCCCGGCUAUGAGUAAUCUACCCACACUGUUUCGGUCCUACAGGUGAUGAGGGCAUUGCUUGCAGAGAUGUGCCUGGAGAUUGUGCGGUUUGUAUCUGAGGCCAUCCUGGAGGUCAUCAUCCCUGCAAUUUUCCGUUUUGUACGGAUAUACAGCCAUGUGUCUCCAGUAUCCGGCAAGUCUCUGACAGAAUCAGAGAGAUCCUCUAGCACAAACCUGAAGGUUCGCAAGAGAGGCAGCAGCAAAUCCUCAAGGUCUUGCACGGCCAAAUCAAGCUCCUCACGUAAUGGGUCUCAGACAGUGUUGCCAAAUACUCAGGGAGAUGGUGAGUCUAUAUCAUCUGAGCCACUCAGGGACUUUUUUGGGAUUACUGAGGACAGUCUCCUCACUGGUGUCCAGGAUUCCUUCAAAGAGUCGCUGAACAAUGUCCUCUGUAUCCAAAGAGAGGACCAGGUAGACACUCAAAGUCUAUCCCGGGUUAUUGUUGGAGAAGUGUCAAAGAAGGUCAAUUCCAUAAUCUCUGUGGCCAUCCAAACUCCCAUCUCUGGCCGAAUGUCCCCUGUUAUUUUUGCCAGUGGUGGUGUCUCCAGAACCAAGGUUGUUGAGGAGAUGGUGUCUGGCGUUUCCAACAUACUUCAGAUGUAUAUUAAUGGGAAGAGUGUUGAGCAGAUUGUUGUUCUCAGAGAGGAUGGUGUUGAGGUGGACAUGACACAUUUAACAGGACAGGUCAUGACAGCCCUCAGUGGCACUGUUUUGAACUUCAGCAAUAAGGAAGAAUAUGACCCCGACAAGAGGGAACUGCUUUGUGUUGUUGCUGACCAUAUGAAGAUGCUUGAAGCUUGUAAAAGUCCUGAGGAGAUGCUAAAACAAGGAGAGAGCAACCUCAAUAUCAAAGGUGCCAAAUCUAGUCUUCGUCUGUCAACACAAAGUAUGGAUAGACUACUCACUGAGGAGUUUCAGACCAAGGCCACUGAAUCGAUCCGGGAGAUUGUUAAAAGAUUCAGGGGUUGUACAUUAUGUUGUUCUGGCACUAUAUCAUCUAGUCCAACUCCUCAGAUAGGUGAGAUCAGAGACCUUAUGAUUGACCCUGAGGCCUCUGAGUUGGUAAGUACCUUUGUUUCAGACAUGGACAAUCUUACCCAGUCUAUCAGGGCAUCCUGCUCUCCUGCACAGAGUGAGCAGAUCCUUCUUGAAAACCAUCAGAGUAAGAUCUGGUCUUACACUGUUGGCUGUUACUACGACAUGAAAAAUACGCUGAAGAGGAUUCUUACCUGUCCAGAAAAAGGUUAUCUCGCAAGUACAUUUGUGGAGAGCACAAAAGAUUAUUUCACAAUGGUUCCAACUUUGUGCCUAGACAUCGGUCAUUCCAGUAAUGGUGAGGCUGACACAUCGGACUCCAUUUCUUGUAAACCACUUUUAAUAACCCCCUCAUCUAUGAAUGAACAAAAAGGACAAAGUGAGACCCCAAAACCUCUCUUGGCUCUCAAAAAGUAUUUGCAAGACCAAGUCCUCCUUGACACCACAAAAGCGAUUGCCAGCCAGGUUCUUGUCUUGUAUAAGACUGAGGUGAUGGAGAAGUUCUCAUCUUCUGUUGGAGAGUGUGAUUCUGAAGAGUCUCUGGAGGCCAUUCUAUUCGUGGAUGGCAUCAUGUCUGACUUGAAUGAUUUCACCAGUUCGUGUUCCCCCUCACCAUCUGAGUUGUUAGACAGUGAACAAUGUCUCUCCCAUCUCACUUUUCCACUUGGUCUACAGGACAGCACCACCAACAGUGAAUCUACCCUGAGUCUUCCAGUUAUAAAUAUGAAGAAACUCUCCAGUGUGUCUUUCCAGACAAAGGCUAGAAAGGCAGUGAGCGAAGCUCUGAGAUCUGUCAACCCCUUUACAAACAGCUUACUGGGAGACUCUGAAGCAUCUACAUUGCUGGACACUUUUGUAACAGAUGUGGAGACUAUUGUUCAGUCCAUGCAGGCACAUGACUCUGAAAAUGUCAGAAUUUCAAAAGUGAGCACCCUUCAUGCUGCUCGUAUUAUAUAUCAUAGAUUUCGAGAAAUGCUGAGGCGUUUUCUCACUCCCUGCCAAGACUCUGUAAAGGUCAUCGAUGGUGUUACACCAAUACAUGAUGAGACUCUCAAACAGGCUCCUAGUGAAAGUUUAGAUUCUCAGGUGACUUGUAAUAGGGAUUCUCUUGAAAUCCAAGCGGACCUUCAAACCUGUACCAAGGAGGUCAUUAGUCAGAUCCUCACUGUGUAUCACUCUGAGGAAUCCAUGGAGGAAUGCCUCUCUAGCCUAAAAGGAGAUACAGAAGACCUGUCCAAGCUUUUGGAUGCCGUUGUUUCUCAGAUUGACGUCCUUGCCGCCUCCAAAUCAUAUUUAUCUGUUGAUGACUAUGCUGUCAAUACACAGGACAAUUUGCAUGGUGAGAUCAACAAUGAUGAGGAGGAGGCAUCCUCUAGAAGUCUUAAAUCCACAGCCUUUGACAAACUAUGUACUGAUGAGUUUCAAACGAAAGCCUCACAUAUGGCUGGUGGGAUCCUUCAAUCAGGGUUAAUUGGCAUUGUAAAUACCAGCCUUGAUGGUAGAAGUGCAGACAUUUGUGCAGAGUCCAGUAACGAUGGUGAUGAUAGAGAUAACAAAAUCCUUCAGAAGAGUGGAACUCCACCUUUGUUCACCUCUUCUCUGCACACCAAUUCUGCAGCAUCCAACAUCGUCAUAAGCAUCACUAAAGACCUUAAUAGCUUCACCCAGAUCACUAAAAUGUCUGAUGCUUCAGUGUCUGGCCAGUUAGAGAGAUCCCUGUCAGCUUCAACCCUUCCUGUCAGUGUUCAGAACGGGGCCAAUGUGAAAGGAAAGAUCAUUUGGCCAGGCACUGUAAACCUGUUCAACAAUGUGUUCAUCAAGGUCAAGGAUUUUUUUGCCCAGCAACAACCGGUCCUCCUAGACAAUGUGGUUGAGGCCCCCAAACAUGCCGAAUCCAUAUGCAGAACAGCUACUUCUAAACAAAUGACUUACAGUGAACAUGAAGGCAGCCAGACCAGCAUGGUAAGUUAUUCCAAAGCCUUAAUUAGUCAGACUCUGAUGACAAUCCAGAGGAGAGUGUCUAUGUCAGAGAGGAUGAGCACCUCAGAGAAAGGCCUCUUGACUCGUUCCAUCGUGGGCUCCAUGUUGGAGGAUGUUGACAUGGUGAGAACUGAUGGACACGAGAUACACCGGCCAUCCUCCUCAAAGUCCUCCCUGUCCAUCACCUCUGCCAUGACCAGAGGGUCCCAGAGUGAUUUUACAAAUUCUCUUCCAGGCACUCCAGUCCCCAAUGAGUGGCCUGUUGAAAUCUAUUGUCCUAUCAUUAGGAGUUCGGUCAUUGAUAUGAGUGACUCCUCAACUCAUUCACAAGGGUCAACAAAUUACACAAGGCAAACCAUCUCUGCCAUAGUUGACACUGUUAUGGAGGUCAUUCCAAGAGAAGAUACGGAACACAUAGCCACUGCAGAUGAUGUCACUUCUAUUACAAGAAGACUUGCGAGACUCAGCCCCAGGGACGGUCUUCAGAACUUCUCACAUGAGCUCACUGACAAAGUUUAUGAGCUCAUAAAAAGUCACAACAUCCCACAGGCUCUUUUUGUGCCAGCUGGCAAGAGCGUGUCUGACUCUAUUCUUUUGAAGCUGAAGACAGGAUUGAAUGCUUCUGAAGAAUCUAGGGAGUUUCCAUCUGACCUUGUAUACUCCUUUGCUACGGAGUCAAUAAAACGUCUGCUACAACAGAUUGUCUUCUGGCUUCCUCCACCAUCACAAGGAUCCGAUUUCUGCCAAACUAUCAUCUCUGAUGAUUCUCUGCAGGAAACAAGUUGGCUUAUGCCGAGCUCUUCUGCCAUCUCCGUUAGUUCCUCACAGGUUUACUUUGACACAAAGAGCCUUUUCACCAAUAUAAUGGUCGAUCAGGUCAUGGAUACCUGUUCUGUGGCCUCCAAUUCAUCAGAAGAAUUAUCAGAGUUGAUGAACAUAAUCAAUGGGUUGUCCCCAACUGAUGCUGGAACACUUGACUCUGACAGACCGGCUCUCAUGACCACUAGCCGUCAGUCUAGUUCCAAAUCAUUGCCUGGACCCUCUCUGUCUGGCAGCAGCACACACAACGGUGGAACUGUGGAUAUUCAAGUUUUAGGAGAGGUGGAAUCCAAGAUGGACAACAAAGAUCUGGAGAUGUCUAGUGCCUCUGUGCAUCCAUCAACUCCAUCAGCCAUGGACUCUGAUACACAUGCAUCAUUUGACUCCACUAGCAAUGACUACACCUCUUUGGUACUUUUACUGAUUGUUAGAUUGCUGUCAAUGAUCACCCCUAUCACAUUACUGGAAUCCUCUGACAUUGGUGAAACAUCAAGAGUUCUCACAAAGAGGAUUCUGUCUGAGUUCUGUGGCACCUCAGGCCUUGAACCAACUCAAGCCUACCCCCAGAAUCUGAAAAUCAAAAAGAUUUUCAAGGCUGUCUACAAGGGGCUUCUUCAAGAAUUUGGGUCAGAGAAGAUGCUCCAGGUUGCAAUGAAGUCAACGGAUUAUGCAUUUGACGAUGCCCUGGUCAAAUCAUUAACUAGGGAACUACUAGCUAAAUGCAAUGAGGCUAGCUCUUCACCUCCCUCCAUGACACAGUUGUCAUCACACAAUGUACUUGGCAGUGACGAGGUAGGUAAUUCUGGGAUUCCAACAACUUGUAGAAAGGAAAAGAAGAGAGGAAGAUUCAGCGCUCUCUGUGGACUCAACCCAAAGGUACAUAUGUCAUCAAAAUACACAUUUUUAAGAUUAUUUUUAUUCAUUAUAUGUACAGUAUGAUGGUCUGUAUGAUGGAACACUGUAUGAUGGAACACUGAUACCCUUUGUGUGCAAUUUCUCCUACUGUAUAAAUGACUGUUUGUUACCCAGUGUACAAAGAAGGUCAACAAGAAGAACCACUGCACUCCAACACCUUCCCAGAACCAGACCCCUGCCGUCAGUGAAACAGGUAAGUCAAUACACUCAAAUGUGUACUGAACAAAAAUAUAAACGCAACAUGCAACAAUUUCAAAGAUUUUAUUGAGUUACAGUUCAUAUAUGGAAAUCAGUCAAUUGAAAUACGUUCAUUAGGCCCUUAUCUAUGGAUUUCACAUGACUGGGAAUACAGAUAUGCAUCUGUUCGUCACAGAUACCUUAAAAAAAGGUAGGGGCGUGGAUCAGAAAACCAGUCAGUAUCUGGUGUGACCACCAUUUUCCUCAUGCAGCGUGACAUUUCUCCUUCGCAUAGAGUUGAUCAGGCUGUUGAUUGUGGCCUAUGGAAUGUUGUCCCACACAUCUUCAAUAGCUGUGUGAAGUUGUUGAAUAUUGGUGAGAACUGGAACACGCUGUUGUACACGUCAAUCCAGAGCAUCACAAACAUGCUAAAUGGGUGACAUGUCUGGUGAGUAUGCAGGCCUUUCGAUAUGGGGCCAUGCAUUACCAUGCUGAAACAUUAGGUGAUGGCGGCGGAUGAAUGGCACGACAAUGGGCCUAAGGAUCUCGAGACGGUAUUUCUGUGCAUUCAAAUUGCCAUUGAUAAAAUGCAAUUGUAUUCGUUGUCCGUAGAUUAUGCCUGCCCACACCAUAACCCUACAGCAAACACGACGCCAUAUACGUGGUCUGUGGUUGUGAGGCCUGUUGGACAUACUGCCAAAUUUUCUAAAACGACAUUGAAGGCGGCUUAUGGUAAAGAAAUAAACAUCCAAUUCUCUGGCCACAGCUCUGGUGGACAUUCCUGCAGUCAGCAUGCCAAUUGCACGCUCCCUCAAAACAAGUCAACCAGCGUUUUUCCUUGCUCCUAUUUUUCUCAGUCUCUGUCUCUGAGACAUCUGUGGCGUUGUGUGGUGUGACAAAACUGCACAUUUUAGCGUGGCCUUUUAUUGCCUCCAGCACGAGUUGCACCUUUGUAAUGAUCAUGCUUUUUAACCCACAAGAGUCUACGCCCUGUCUAGGCCGAGGGGUUUGUAUCGGCCUUACUGCUAUUUGCCCAUACGCAUUGAAUAACAGAUUCACUACAUGGAACUGAAGUGUCUGUCCUAAAUCUGAG
Molecule: long non-coding RNA, 6198 nt
Organism: Oncorhynchus kisutch (coho salmon)
Lineage: Eukaryota; Metazoa; Chordata; Actinopteri; Salmoniformes; Salmonidae
Source: Ensembl